This 85-nucleotide transfer RNA is filed under the name Chloroflexota bacterium. RNAcentral's name for it is "Chloroflexi bacterium tRNA-Leu". It matches the Rfam family "tRNA". Rfam says of the family: Transfer RNA (tRNA) molecules are approximately 80 nucleotides in length. Their secondary structure includes four short double-helical elements and three loops (D, anti-codon, and T loops). Further hydrogen bonds mediate the characteristic L-shaped molecular structure. tRNAs have two regions of fundamental functional importance: the anti-codon, which is responsible for specific mRNA codon recognition, and the 3' end, to which the tRNAs corresponding amino acid is attached (by aminoacyl-tRNA synthetases). tRNAs cope with the degeneracy of the genetic code in two manners: having more than one tRNA (with a specific anti-codon) for a particular amino acid; and 'wobble' base-pairing, i.e. permitting non-standard base-pairing at the 3rd anti-codon position. Lineage: Bacteria; Bacillati; Chloroflexota. The record is from RNAcentral.
GCCGAAGUGGCGGAAUUGGAAGACGCGCUAGCUUGAGGGGCUAGUGGGCUUUACGCUCGUAAGGGUUCGAGUCCCUUCUUCGGCA